GAUGAACGCUGGCGGCGUGCCUAAUACAUGCAAGUCGAGCGAACAGACGAGGAGCUUGCUCCUUCGACGUUAGCGGCGGACGGGCGAGUAACACGUAGGUAACCUACCUAUAUGACUGGGAUAACUUCGGGAAACCGGAGCCAAUACCGGCUAAUAUUUCGAACCGCAUGGUUCGAUAGUGAAAGAUGGCUUUGCUAUCACUUAUAGAUGGACCUGCGUCGUAUUAGCUAGUUGGUAAGGUAACGGCUUACCAAGGCGACGAUCCGUAGCCGAGCUGAGAGGAUGAUCGGCCACACUGGAACUGAGACACGGUCCAGACUCCUACGGGAGGCAGCAGUGGGGAAUCUUGGGCAAUGGGCGAAAGCCUGACGGAGCAACGCCGCGUGGGUGAAGAAGGUCUUCGGAUCGUAAAGCCCUGUUAUUAGGAAAGAAAAAACGUAUGAUAAACUGCCGACGUCUUGACGGUACCUAAUGAGAAAGCCACGGCUAACUACGUG
Molecule: ribosomal RNA, 497 nt
Filed under: uncultured bacterium
Lineage: Bacteria
Description: partial 16S ribosomal RNA
Rfam family: Bacterial small subunit ribosomal RNA
Source: RNAcentral